UUCAAUUGUUGUCUAAAUACAAGAUCAACAUUAUUGUCCAGAAUUUUUUUUCUCCUUUUUAGAUUCUUAGAUUUGAAAUCGACAACAUAUAAUAUUGCUUUAUUCCAUUAUUUUUUCGCGGAGUGUUUGUGCUUGAAUUACUCCAUUAAGUUUGCAUAGUAAGAUUUACAUUCAAUUGCUCAGUUAUGACAAGAUUAAUUUGAAGAAACACUCAUACUUCAGUUAAGAAGUUCACUUUUACAACAUACCAACACCAUCAACCAUAGUGUAUAUCAAGGUGAAUGAAGUAUUUCACGUCCCUUGAAACUGCAAACGAACAACGAACAAAG
Long non-coding RNA from Lycium ferocissimum, 329 nucleotides. RefSeq lists it as uncharacterized. The transcript has 2 exons. The record is from RefSeq and is a predicted model, not a curated record. Lineage: Eukaryota; Viridiplantae; Streptophyta; Magnoliopsida; Solanales; Solanaceae.